Molecule: small nucleolar RNA, 93 nt
Organism: Xyrauchen texanus (razorback sucker)
Lineage: Eukaryota; Metazoa; Chordata; Actinopteri; Cypriniformes; Catostomidae
Product: small nucleolar SNORD12/SNORD106
Exons: 1
Source: RefSeq, a predicted model, not a curated record
UCUGGUAGCAAUGAUGACUUAACUUUUUUCCCCAUCAGAUCGACUCUGUUGACUUUCAGAAUAAAAUUAAGCCAAAUUAUCUGAGCAACCAGA